UACACAUGCAGUCGAACGGUAACAGGAAGCAGCUUGCUGCUUUGCUGACGAGUGGCGGACGGGUGAGUAAUGUCUGGGAAACUGCCCGAUGGAGGGGGAUAACUACUGGAAACGGUAGCUAAUACCGCAUAACGUCGCAAGACCAAAGAGGGGGACCUUCGGGCCUCUUGCCAUCGGAUGUGCCCAGAUGGGAUUAGCUUGUUGGUGAGGUAACGGCUCACCAAGGCGACGAUCCCUAGCUGGUCUGAGAGGAUGACCAGCCACACUGGAACUGAGACACGGUCCAGACUCCUACGGGAGGCAGCAGUGGGGAAUAUUGCACAAUGGGCGCAAGCCUGAUGCAGCCAUGCCGCGUGUAUGAAGAAGGCCUUCGGGUUGUAAAGUACUUUCAGCGGGGAGGAAGGUGUUGUGGUUAAUAACCGCAGCAAUUGACGUUACCCGCAGAAGAAGCACCGGCUAACUCCGUGCCAGCAGCCGCGGUAAUACGGAGGGUGCAAGCGUUAAUCGGAAUUACUGGGCGUAAAGCGCACGCAGGCGGUCUGUCAAGUCGGAUGUGAAAUCCCCGGGCUCAACCUGGGAACUGCAUUCGAAACUGGCAGGCUUGAGUCUCGUAGAGGGGGGUAGAAUUCCAGGUGUAGCGGUGAAAUGCGUAGAGAUCUGGAGGAAUACCGGUGGCGAAGGCGGCCCCCUGGACGAAGACUGACGCUCAGGUGCGAAAGCGUGGGGAGCAAACAGGAUUAGAUACCCUGGUAGUCCACGCCGUAAACGAUGUCUAUUUGGAGGUUGUUCCCUUGAGGAGUGGCUUCCGGAGCUAACGCGUUAAAUAGACCGCCUGGGGAGUACGGCCGCAAGGUUAAAACUCAAAUGAAUUGACGGGGGCCCGCACAAGCGGUGGAGCAUGUGGUUUAAUUCGAUGCAACGCGAAGAACCUUACCUGGUCUUGACAUCCACAGAACCUUGUAGAGAUACGAGGGUGCCUUCGGGAACUGUGAGACAGGUGCUGCAUGGCUGUCGUCAGCUCGUGUUGUGAAAUGUUGGGUUAAGUCCCGCAACGAGCGCAACCCUUAUCCUUUGUUGCCAGCGGUCCGGCCGGGAACUCAAAGGAGACUGCCAGUGAUAAACUGGAGGAAGGUGGGGAUGACGUCAAGUCAUCAUGGCCCUUACGACCAGGGCUACACACGUGCUACAAUGGCAUAUACAAAGAGAAGCGACCUCGCGAGAGUAAGCGGACCUCAUAAAGUAUGUCGUAGUCCGGAUUGGAGUCUGCAACUCGACUCCAUGAAGUCGGAAUCGCUAGUAAUCGUGGAUCAGAAUGCCACGGUGAAUACGUUCCCGGGCCUUGUACACACCGCCCGUCACACCAUGGGAGUGGGUUGCAAAAGAAGUAGGUAGCUUAACCUUCGGGAGGGCGCUACCACU
This 1419-nucleotide ribosomal RNA is filed under the name Citrobacter sp. ST8D. Its description in RNAcentral is "bacterial SSU rRNA". It matches the Rfam family "Bacterial small subunit ribosomal RNA". The record is from RNAcentral. Lineage: Bacteria; Pseudomonadati; Pseudomonadota; Gammaproteobacteria; Enterobacterales; Enterobacteriaceae.